AUACGUAGGGUGCAAGCGUUAAUCGGAAUUACUGGGCGUAAAGCGUGCGCAGGCGGUUUUGUAAGACAGUGGUGAAAUCCCCGGGCUCAACCUGGGAACUGCCAUUGUGACUGCAAGGCUGGAGUGCGGCAGAGGGGGAUGGAAUUCCGCGUGUAGCAGUGAAAUGCGUAGAUAUGCGGAGGAACACCGAUGGCGAAGGCAAUCCCCUGGGCCUGCACUGACGCUAAUGCACGAAAGCGUGGGGAGCAAACAGGAUUAGAUACCCUGGUAGUCCACGCCCUAAACGAUGUCAACUGGUUGUUGGGGAUUUAUUUUCUCAGUAACGAAGCUAACGCGUGAAGUUGACCGCCUGGGGAGUACGGCCGCAAGGUUAAAACUCAAAUGAAUUGACGGGG
RNAcentral lists this ribosomal RNA (395 nucleotides) under uncultured bacterium. Its description in RNAcentral is "partial 16S ribosomal RNA". It matches the Rfam family "Bacterial small subunit ribosomal RNA", at positions 523 to 918 of the family's 1533-position model. The record is from RNAcentral.